Molecule: ribosomal RNA, 403 nt
Filed under: uncultured bacterium
Lineage: Bacteria
Description: partial 16S ribosomal RNA
Rfam family: Bacterial small subunit ribosomal RNA
Source: RNAcentral
AUUGAACGCUGGCGGCAGGCCUAACACAUGCAAGUCGAACGAGCGGCGGACGGGUGAGUAAUGUAUGGGGACUGCCCCCUAGAGGGGGGAAAAUACUGGAAAAUGUAUCUAAUACCGCAUACUAUCGGAUAACCCAUAUGGGAUUAGCUAGUAGGUGGGGUAAUGGCUCACCUAGGCGACGAUGCCUAACUGGUCUGAGAGGAUGAGCAGCCACACUGGGACUGAGACACGGCCCAGACUCCUACGGAGGCAGCAGUGGGGAAUAUUGCACAAUGGGCGCAAGCCUGAUGCAGCCAUGCCGCGUGUAUGAAGAAGGCCUUAGGGUUGUAAAGUACUUUCAGUCGGGAGGCGUUACCGACAGAAGAAGCACCGGCUAACUCCGUGCCAGCAGCCGCGGUAAUUC